RNAcentral lists this long non-coding RNA (7099 nucleotides) under Sarcophilus harrisii (Tasmanian devil). RNAcentral describes it as "lncRNA (ENSSHAG00000028315.1)". Lineage: Eukaryota; Metazoa; Chordata; Mammalia; Dasyuromorphia; Dasyuridae. The record is from RNAcentral.
ACCCUCCGACCUCCGCAGUCGGAUUCCGAGCCCUAGUCUACGCUUUUGACCCCAGCCUCGCCUGCCGGCGUGGGCAGGAGAAGAAACGGCCUCCGGACUGUGACAUUUCUGGCCAGUCUUCAGAGCACGAACGCUUCCCCUGCAGACAGCCCGGAGACGGCCAGAGGGGAGCCGCACUGAGGCCUGCCGCCCCGCGGGGAAGCCAUUCUGGUGGCGGACGGACCAGCUACCCUCCACCCGCCGGCACCCCGGGUCGGCCAGCCGGAGUGGCUGAAGCAGCAGCGUUGUGAAGGAGAGUGCCGGGGGAGGCGAGCCGCUGCCGUCUCCUCCCUUCAGAGCCGGAUGGAGGAGGCCCAGGACCCUGAGUUCGGAGAUCUUAGAGCCAGCCGUCACCCCUUUGCUCGAGUCCAACAAGGCUGCUUCUCAGGAAGAGGGGUAUCGCCAUCUGCACCAACAACGCUCCGGCAGGGAAGCCCAGGAACUCGGACGGUCGCCGCACUUAUCUUUCAGCCCACCCUUCGCGGCCUUUAUCCUAGGAAACAACCCUCAAGGAGAUAAAUAAAGCCUGGCAACUGAUUCUGGGGAUUCUGUAGCCUCUACUCUUGAAGACCCAGAAAAUGGUUCAGCAUCAGAAAUUGAUCCGUGGUUUCAUCAGUGGAAAUGACGUUAAAGAAAAGGCAUUACCUUUUGCACUGUACGCUGAGGACCAUGGGGAAUUUCCAUCCCACUUGGAGUUAAGAACUUCCGUGUCGUCUUUCUGACCCCCAUUAGGACGUUGAGCUCCUCCAGAACAGCUGCGGUCUUAUUUUUCAUUUUUGUAUCCAGAGCUAAGAGGUGGAGGGCCCUGUUCAUGGAACAGCCAGGAGGCUGGGGUCGUUGAAUUGAGGAGCGUGUGUUGGGGAGUAAGGUGUAAAAAGUCUGGAAUUUCAGGAGGGCCCGAGUUAGUGCUAUGCAGAACAUUUUGGUUUUGACUCUGAAAGCAGUGAGGAGGCUCUGAAGUUCAUUGAGCAAGAGGUGAUAUGGUCAGACUGAAUUUUAGGAAGAUCACUGUAGUGGCUGAAUGGAAGAUGUGGAGAGACACUGAGGCAGGCUCCCCUGCCUCCUCCCAGCAGCUGUUGCCAGAACCUGCACCAAGAAUUAUCCCAUAGACAAAUACUACAGUAAUUUUUAGAAAGGGAGAAAAAGUCAGCAAAAGUGAGAGUUACAAUGAAAAGUUGCUGUUUAUAAGACGGGAUCCUCUAUUCAUAAAAAACCUGACUAAAAUUUUCCAGAUUAUAUGACAAGAGGAAGUUAUUCUCAGUAAUUCAAAGAUGACCCCUUUGUUCAUAUCUUAAAAGAAAAUAGGUUGUCCUAUGACAAUCACAGGGAUUUUUCUCUUAAUCAUUGCCUGCAAGAUUCUUUUCAGAUCCUCUUUAAUAUAUUGAUCCUUCACCUGAAAGGUGGAAGUCCAUAGGAGAGCCAGUGUGGCUUCAAUAACUGCUAAGGAAGAGUUACUAUGAUAUUUGUUACCCGAGAAAUCCCAGGAGCAGAACAGAGGUCCGUACACAACUUUCAUUGUUCUAACCAAAGCCUUUGACGCUGUCAGUCAUGAGGGCCUGUAGAAAAUUUUGGCAAAAUUUGGUUGCCUGGAGAAGUUCAUCAAUAUUGUACAUAGUAUUAUAAUAGCAUGGUUGCCCAGUUCUAGAUAAUGGACGAUGUGCUCUUACUUUCCCAGUCACCAAUGGAGUGAAGCAGGAAUAUGUGCUCGCUCCCAAGCUUGUUAGCAUGAUAUUUUCAGCAAUGUUGUUAAAUGCCUUCAGUGAUGGUGAACGUGACAUCAAGGUCAACUAUUGCAAUGUCUGCGAAUUAUUUAAUUUGAAAAGGUUACAAGCCGAGACUAAAGUGGAGAAAGAGUUGGUUCAUCAUUUUUUGUUUCAAGAUGAAUGCAGACUCUGAGGAUGAGAUUCAAGAAAGUAUGGAUCUGCUGCUUGUGCUAAUUGCCUAACAAUGAACACAAAGAAAACAUAGAUGGUCCACUGGCCAACACCACACCAUUCAUAUAUGGAACAGCAAAUGGAGAAAUUUUGAAAGCUGUAAAUAAGUUCACUUACCAUAGCAGUAUGCUUUCCAGGGAUGUACAUAUGAUGAUAAGGUUAAUGCAUACAUUGCCAGAGAUAAUUCAGAGUUUGGGGGGCUCUGAAGGGAUAUGUAAAAGAAAAGAAGUAUUAGACUGACUACCAAACUGAAGCUGUUGUGCCAAUUUCAUUGCUGUGUGCCUUUGAUACCUGGACAGUAUACCAGUGCCAUGCCAGGAAACUGAAUUGUUUCCAUUUCAAUUGGCUUAGGAAGGUUCUGAAGAUCACCUGGAAAGAUAAAGUACCGGACACUGAAGUCCCUUCUUGAACUAAGUUUCCAAAUAUUUAAAUUUUCCCUCAGAAUACACAACUAAUAGGCUGGCCAUGUUGUUUGAAUAUCAAAUGUAUAUUUGCCUAGAAGAUUGUACUAUGAAGAAUUUAUACAAAUCAAGCACUCACAUGGAGGUCAGAAGAAGUGAUACAAGGCACUCUCAAGGUCUUUCUGAAGAACUUUGGAAUUGAUUGUGUAACAUGAGAAACUUUGUCAAGGAAUCAUACAGCAUAGUGUGCUGUCAUCAGAGAAAGUGCUAUUGCAAAGCAGAAUUAUAAUAACUAGAGAGAAACAAAAUGCCCAGAUUUAAAGAUAUCUCCACUCUGAAUGUUCAUGUGAUCUUUGUGACUGACCUAUGGUAGAGCCACAUAGGUCUGAUCAGCCAUGGUCACAAUACUUUAUUCCAACAUAAUGAUGUCAUUUUGGUCCUUAUCAGUUCAUAUAGCUCAUCCUAUGCUUUUCCACAUUUGUCAUACACAUAAUUUCUGACAACCCAAUAAUAUUCCAUUAUAGUCAUACGUCACAGUCUGGUUAGUCUUUCCCCAAUCAAGGGAUAUCUUUUUUAUUUGUUUGUUUCCAGUUCUUGGCUAUUGCACACACAAAAUAGUGCUGCUAUAAAUAUUUUGACAUAUAUGGGAGGACUUUUUUCUUAUUGAUAAAUUCCAUGGGAUUUAGAUCCAGUAACAGAGUCUCUGGUUCAAAGGACACGGACAUUUUAAUCAUUUUAUUUGCAAAAUUCCAAAUUGCUUUUCAGAAUGGUUAUACCAUUUCACAGCUGCACUAACAAUAUGUUGGUGUACCUGCCUUCUCACAACCUUUCCAACAUAGUUGCUAUUCUUUGUCAUUUUUGCAAAUUUACAGGGUGUGAGAUAAAAAUUUCAGAGUUGUUUUGUUGUUCAUUUCUCUUCUUUCUUUGAAACAUUCUUUCAUGUGGUUAUGAAUACUUUUCAGUUCUGCUUUCAAAAACUUUUUGGUCAUAUCCUUUGGACAUUUAUCUGUUACUAAUUACAUUUUAAUUUUGUUUAGUCCCAAAUGUAAGCCAUGUGCUUGACACCUCUGCUUUAAAUUAUUCAGUCUUCAUCUGCUCUUUUUUCUAGUACAAAACAUUGUAGGUCUCUAACUAGAAGGGAUCUCAUGAGUUUGUUUAGUUCAAGCUUCUCUCAUUUUAAAGUUUUUGAAACUAAGAUCCAGUGAAGUUUGAUGUGCCAAAGUCAUGCAAUUAAUGGCAGAAUCAAGAUUUAAUCCUAGAUUCUCUAGCUUCACAUUCUUUGGUCUUUCCUUGAUGCUCUUAUUCUUUGCUAUGACUAAAUUCUCUGCUGUGCUAUUGAUUUCUUCUCCUUUGUCCUUCUGUAGACUUUAUUCCACAAUAGUGCCCUGUUUUAUGCAUCUUUUUUCCCCCAUUGACUUCUUACUAACUGCUUAGUGACAUAUUCCAGGCUCCUGUUAAUCACUAUUCCUGGCUCUUUCCUGGGUAAUUUCAUAGUUAACAUCUGAUAAAUCCCAGCUGUUUUGCCACCGCUGCUUUUGCCAAUAUAAACAUAUUGCCUCUACCCUUAUUUUUCCCCCUUUUAUAAAGGAAGUUUGGUUUCUACCUCCCCUUUCUCUUAUUCCGUUGUUAAAUAGUGGCUCCAAAGUUUGUUCUUGAUAUCUCUAAGAAUACCACACUAGGUCUACCAGUUGUAGUAUUUUUACAUGAUAGUCAACCAUUUUGUAUAACGUGUUCAAUACCAAGCUAAAAAUUCUCAUGUAGUAUUUGAAAUGUUGAUAGAAACUAUUAAAUAUCCUUUCUCAAGCAAAACUAUUUUGUGAGGUUCAGUUUUGCUGGGAUUUAAAGAUCCUAAUAGUCUUGACACUCAAGCAGGCUUAACACUUGUGGGUGUUGAGCUGUUUCCCUUUUUCAAUCUCCUUUGUUAAUAUCUUACAGUAUUUUUUAAAAUACCCAUAAUCCCAUUUCUAACUAUGAUCCCAUCUCUUCUGCCAUUCACUUUCAAAACUCUUUAAAAAAACAACAGCAACAACAACAACUGUAUUCAGUGUCUCAAAUAUUUUACCAUAUGUCAUUUUCUCUUUGCUUUAUAAUGUGUUCUCUUUCAACCACCCUAUUGAAAUGGCUUUCUUGAGGCAGCUAGAUGGCUAGAACACUGGCCCUGAAGUCUGGAGGGCCUGAAUUCGAAUAUGACCUCAGACAGAACAUGUCCUAGCUAUGUGGUCCCAGGCAAGUCACUUAUCCCUAAUUGCCUCAGCAAAAAAAGGAAGGAAGGAAGGAAGAGAAAGAAAGAGAAAAAGAAAGGAAGGAAGAAAGAAAAAAAGAAAAACUGCUUCCUUAAAAAUCAUCAGUGACCCCAUUGCCAAACAUAAUAGCACAUUUAUAGUUCUUACCCAUUUUUAACUCUCUGAAAUAUUUGACACUGUUGUAUAUCACCUUGACUUUAACAAUGCCACAAAUUCUUGCCUCUACUUUUUUAACUGCUCUUCUGUCUCCUUGUACUUUUCACACCACUUUAAACAAGAUGUUCCCCCCAGGUUUCUUAUUUGGCUCUCUUCCAUUCUAAGUUUUACCUGUGAGAAUUUCCACCAGUUUUGCCAAAUACAUUAUUUAAGAAUAGAUUGGGAAAAUAGUGGCAGAGGCCAGGAAGGAGCAUUUGGAGUUAGAUGUCUUCAUCUAUAAUGUUUUGUUUGUUUUAAAAUGUAUUUUUACUUAUCUAGUGCCAUACCAAACUCCCAAAAAAUUAUUUUACAGAUCUAGAAAAAAUAAUAACAAAGUUCAUCUGGAGGAAUAAAAAGUCAAGCGUUUCAAGGGAAUUAAUGAAAAAAAAAAUGUCAUUGAAAGGCCUAGCUGUGCCAGACCUAAAACUAUAUCAUAAAACAGCAGUCAUCAAAACCAUUUGGUACUGGCUAAGAAACAAAGUAAUCAAUAAGUGGAAUAGGUUAGGUUCACAGGACAAAAUAGUCAAUGACUAUAGCAAUCUCGUGUUUGAGAAACCCAAAGACCCCAGCUUUUGGGAUAAGAACUCAGUAUUUGACCAAAACUGCUGGGAAAAUUGGAAACUAGUAUGACAAACUAGGUAUUGUUUCACACAUAAUACCAUAUACCAAGAUACCCAUAUACGAAAUGGGUUCAUGAUUUGGACAAAAGAGUGAUGUUAUAAGCAAACUGGAAGAACAUAGAAUAGUUUACCUCUCAGGAAUUUGUGACCUAAGGAAAACUGGAACUCAUUACUGAACACCAAAUAGAUAAUUUUGAUUAUAUUAAGUUAAAAGGGUUUUGUAUAAACAAAACUAAUGCAGACAAGAUUAAAAGGGAAGCAAUAAAUUGAGAAAACAUUUUUACAUUUAAUGGUUAAGCAAUUUGGAACUGUGCUCAAAAAGUUAUCAAAUAACAUACCCUUUGAUCCAGCAGUGUUUCUACUGGGCUUAUAUUCCAAAGAGAUCUCAAAGGAGGGAAAAGGACCCACAUGUGCAAAAAUGUUUGUGGCAGCUCUUUUUCAUAGUGGCAAGAAACUGGAAACUGAGUGGAUGCCCAUCAGUUGGAGAAUGGCUAAAUAAAUUAUGGCAUGUGAAAGAGAAUAUUAUUGUUCUAUAAGAAAUGAUCAGCAGGUUGAUUUCAGAGAGGCAUGGAGAGACUUACAUGAACUGAUGCUGAGUGAAGUGAGCAGAGCCAGGAGAUCAUUGUACACGGCAACAGCAAUAUUAUACAAUGAUCAAUUCUGAUGGACAUCGCUAUUUCCAACAAUGAGAUGAUUGAUGCCAGUUCCAAUGAUCUUGUGAUGAAGAGAGCCAUCUACACCCAGAGAGAGGACUGUGGGAACUGUAUGAAUCACAAUAUAACAUUCUUAUUCUUUUUGUUAUUGUUUGCUUGCAUUUUGUUUUCUUACUCAUUUUCUUUCCUUUUUGAUCUGAUUUUCUUAUGCAGUAAUAUAAUUGUGUAAAUAUGUCUACAUAUUGGAUUGCUUGCUAUCUAGGUGAGGGAAUGAGGGGAAGGAGGAGAAAUUUGGAACACAAGGCUAUCCAAGGGUCAGUGUUGAAAAAUUAUCUGUGCAUAUGUUUUAAAAAUAAAAAGCUUUCAAAAAUUAUUUUUAUUUUUAAAAUGUUAAUUUUUUAAAAUAUUUUUACAUCACCAUAAUUUUUCCCAAUAUACCCCUUCCCAGAAAAUAAUCCCACAUAAUAAAUGCUAUUUUUAAAGACUAAAAACAAAAAAAAAGGAGAGGAAGAAAUCAGCAUAAUUAUCACAUCAAAAAAUCUGAAAAUAUAUACAAUGUAUAACACCUGUGGAUCUCAGCUCUCUGUAUUCUCAUAUUUCCUUUUCAGCUAGUCUUGUUCCUGAGAAUUUCACAACAUUCUUUUUUAACAUUGUUAUAGUUAUUGUGUCAGUUGUUUUCUUGGCUCUGCUUUCCUGCAUCAAUUUGCACAGAUUUCUGUUUUUCAAUAUUCUUCCCACUCAUUUCUUACCUCAUUCAUAGUUUGAACAAAAACUUUGCCAAAUUCAAUUAUAUGUUGCAUUUGAGUGAUGCUUUUUUUCCAUCCUAAAUCAUGCCCUCCCUUUUAACAAAAAAGCAAUUAAGAAAACUGCUUCUGAUGACAAAGCCAACAUUCUGUCCCCAUACCAAAAAAGGGAGUGCUUUUUCAUUAGUUUUCCAAAAGGAAAACACAUCAUCAUCUUCAUUGAUGUUGUUUGUCCUUCAUUCUCAAAGAUCGUAACAUUAGGAAAGUGGUG